This 497-nucleotide ribosomal RNA is filed under the name uncultured bacterium. RNAcentral describes it as "partial 16S ribosomal RNA". It matches the Rfam family "Bacterial small subunit ribosomal RNA", at positions 28 to 507 of the family's 1533-position model. The record is from RNAcentral.
GAUGAACGCUGGCGGCGUGCCUAAUACAUGCAAGUCGAGCGAACAGACGAGGAGCUUGCUCCUCGGACGUUAGCGGCAGACGGGUGAGUAACACGUGUAUAACCUACCUAUAAGACUGGGAUAACUUCGGGAAUCCGGAUCUAAUACCGGAUAAUAUAUUGAACCGCAUGGUUCAAUAGUGAAAGACGGUGUUGCUGUCACUUAUAGAUGGAUCCGCGCCGGAUUAGCUAGUUGGUAAGGUAACGGCUUACCAAGGCAACGAUGCGUAGCCGACCUGAGAGGGUGGUAGGCCACCCUGGAGCUGAGACAGGGUCCAGACUCCUACGGGAGGCAGCAGUAGGGAAUCUUACGCAAUGGGCGAGAGCCUGACGGAGCAACGCGGCGUGAGUGAUGAAGGUGUUCGGAUCGUAAAACUCUGUUAUUAGGGAAGAGCAAAUGUGUAAGUAACUAUGAACGUCUUGACGGUACCUAAUAAGAAAGCAACGGCUAACUACGUG